This 77-nucleotide transfer RNA is filed under the name Enterobacter cloacae. RNAcentral's name for it is "tRNA-Ile". It matches the Rfam family "tRNA". Rfam says of the family: Transfer RNA (tRNA) molecules are approximately 80 nucleotides in length. RNAcentral also lists the same sequence under 14 other names. Lineage: Bacteria; Pseudomonadati; Pseudomonadota; Gammaproteobacteria; Enterobacterales; Enterobacteriaceae. The record is from RNAcentral.
AGGCUUGUAGCUCAGGUGGUUAGAGUGCACCCCUGAUAAGGGUGAGGUCGGUGGUUCAAGUCCACUCAGGCCUACCA